RNAcentral lists this ribosomal RNA (434 nucleotides) under uncultured bacterium. RNAcentral's name for it is "partial 16S ribosomal RNA". It matches the Rfam family "Bacterial small subunit ribosomal RNA", at positions 29 to 507 of the family's 1533-position model. The record is from RNAcentral.
AGCGAACGCUGGCGGCAGGCCUAACACAUGCAAGUCGAACGAACCUUUCGGGGUUAGUGGCGGACGGGUGAGUAACACGUGGGAACGUGCCUUUAGGUUCGGAAUAACUCAGGGAAACUUGUGCUAAUACCGAAUGUGCCCUUCGGGGGAAAGAUUAAUCGCCUUUAGAGCGGCCCGCGUCUGAUUAGCUAGUUGGUUGAGGUAAUGGCUCACCAAGGCGACGAUCAGUAGCUGGUCUGAGAGGAUGAUCAGCCACAUUGGGACUGAGACACGGCCCAAACUCCUACGGAAGGCAGCAGUGGGGAGUAUUGCGCAAUGGGCGAAAGCCUGACGCAGCCAUGCCGGGUGAAUGAUGAAGGUCUUAGGAUUGUAAAAUUCUUUCACCGGGGACGAUAAUGACGGUACCCGGAGAAGAAGCCCCGGCUAACUUCGUG